AACGAACGCUGGCGGCAGGCCUAACACAUGCAAGUCGAGCGAGGACUUCGGUUCUAGCGGCGGACGGGUGAGUAACGCGUGGGAAUGUGCCCUUCUCUACGGAAUAGCCCUGGGAAACUGGGAGUAAUACCGUAUACGCCCUUUUGGGGAAAGAUUUAUCGGAGAAGGAUCAGCCCGCGUUGGAUUAGGUAGUUGGUGGGGUAAUGGCCUACCAAGCCGACGAUCCAUAGCUGGUUUGAGAGGAUGAUCAGCCACACUGGGACUGAGACACGGCCCAGACUCCUACGGGAGGCAGCAGUGGGGAAUCUUAGACAAUGGGGGCAACCCUGAUCUAGCCAUGCCGCGUGAGUGAUGAAGGCCUUAGGGUUGUAAAGCUCUUUCAGCUGGGAAGAUAAUGACGGUACCAGCAGAAGAAGCCCCGGCUAAUUCCGUG
This 433-nucleotide ribosomal RNA is filed under the name uncultured bacterium. Its description in RNAcentral is "partial 16S ribosomal RNA". It matches the Rfam family "Bacterial small subunit ribosomal RNA", at positions 29 to 507 of the family's 1533-position model. The record is from RNAcentral.